GACGAACGCUGGCGGCGUGCUUAACACAUGCAAGUCGAACGCUGAACCCGCUUCGGUGGGGGAUGAGUGGCGAACGGGUGAGUAACACGUGGGCAACCUGCCCCCGGCUCUGGGAUAACUCCAAGAAAUUGGGGCUAAUACCGGAUGUGACCGCUGGCCGCAUGGUCUGGUGGUGGAAAGGGUUUCCGGCUGGGGAUGGGCCCGCGGCCUAUCAGCUUGUUGGUGGGGUAGUGGCCUACCAAGGCGACGACGGGUAGCCGGCCUGAGAGGGUGACCGGCCACGCUGGGACUGAGACACGGCCCGGACUCCUACGGGAGGCAGCAGUGGGGAAUAGUGCGCAAGGGGCGGAAGCCUGACGCAGCGACGCCGCGUGGGAGAUGACGGCCUUCGGGUUGUAAACCUCUGUCAGCAGGGACGAAGCGCAAGUGACGGUACCUGCAGAAGAAGCACCGGCCAACUACGUG
RNAcentral lists this ribosomal RNA (465 nucleotides) under uncultured bacterium. Its description in RNAcentral is "partial 16S ribosomal RNA". It matches the Rfam family "Bacterial small subunit ribosomal RNA", at positions 28 to 507 of the family's 1533-position model. The record is from RNAcentral.